GAUGAACGCUGGCGGCGUGCCUAAUACAUGCAAGUCGAGCGAACGGACGAGAAGCUUGCUUCUCUGAUGUUAGCGGCGGACGGGUGAGUAACACGUGGAUAACCUACCUAUAAGACUGGGAUAACUUCGGGAAACCGGAGCUAAUACCGGAUGAUAUUUUGAACCGCAUGGUUCAAAAGUGAAAGACGGUCUUGCUGUCACUUAUAGAUGGAUCCGCGCUGCAUUAGCUAGUUGGUAAGGUAACGGCUUACCAAGGCAACGAUGCAUAGCCGACCUGAGGGGGUGGUAGGCAACACUGGAAAUGAGACACGGUCCAGACUCCGACGGGAGGCAGAAGUAGGGAAUAUGCAGCAAUGGGCGAAAGCCGGACGGAGCAACGCCGAGUGAGUGAUGAAGGUCUGCGGAUCGUAAAACUCUGUGAUGAGGGAAGAACAAAUGGGUAAGGAAAGGUGCACACCGGGACGGUACCUGAUCAGAAAGCCACGGCUAACUACGUG
Molecule: ribosomal RNA, 497 nt
Filed under: uncultured bacterium
Lineage: Bacteria
Description: partial 16S ribosomal RNA
Rfam family: Bacterial small subunit ribosomal RNA
Source: RNAcentral